GGACUCAUGAAGGCCUUUCACCUGAUCAAAGGCACAAUAAUGCAAAAUAAAUUCCAUAUUAAUACUUCUCCAUGCACACAAAAAGACCAUCCAGGUCUUCUGACCCGCUAAAAUACCUAACCCUAUAGCCCUAAGAAUGUGGGAACCCCUGAAGGACAGAUCAAGGUCCUUGAGAAACAUGGUUCAGGUUAUGUCAACAGUAUGGCAUGCUCAUAAUUCAAUUGAUCAAUGGAAAAUCCUGUUCACUAAAGAUAACAAUAAUGUUCUUAUAGUUGUUAAAAAAGAAAAAACUAACAAAAUUAACGUUUAAACAAUAAAGGGCUUCCCUUCUCAGUCUAUUAUCUCACUUUUCAUGUAGCAUGGAGACAUUAAAUACUUAGAUGCAGUAUAUUUUGGGGGGCAAUGCUUAAAAACUGCCAUCUGGAUCAAAAAUGUUCAAUUUAAUAUGAAUGUUAAAUAUAUAAGGACAUGCAUUUAAAAUUGUAGCAUCCACUAGACAGCAGACACGGUAAAAAAAAAAUAGCAAAUAACAUUUGGGUACUAAUCUAAAUGUGCAACAUAUAAUUCUCAUCAAAGAAUGCCAGCACUCCAUCCUACUAAAGAUGUCAUAUAACCUGUUUGAAUGAGCAACAUCAAGAGAUAAACACUCACAUGAUUAUGGAUGGAUAUAUAAGAAAUAAAAGAGAUGCAACUUUGGAUGUCACCCUAAAUAAAUAAAGCUACCUUGCAAAAAUAUGCAAUGGGAUAACAGUUAUACUGUUCAGUGAGUCUUCCAUGUGCUUCUUUUCAACAAGUGUUGCUGCUUGUUUUAAAUGCAAUCUCAAUAAUGAAAAAAGAUUGACCAUGGAAAGAGGCAAAUUUUCUUACACAACCACUAGGAAAGCAAUAAAACUGGUCCACAUUUUCAUUGCUAACCUCACAAGCACAAAGAAACCAGUAUUGCUAAAUUCGUCCCGGUCACAAUGCCACAUUCAAAUUGAUUUGUCAAAGAUAAAGUAUACUCAUGUGUCUUUGCCUAUAACUAACUCUAAAAAUUUUAUGAUGAAAAAGAAUUAGAGACAAACCAAAUUGUCCCAUAAAAGAUUCAGGGUUACAUGUGUAGCAAUUAAACCAAGCAAAAGAUGGAUUAUAACUAUAAGAAUUUUUGUAAGCCGCGGUAAGGAACACCAUGGGACAUUUAAGUCAGAAAACAAGAUUGCAGCAAGAAGAAGAACCGCAACUUAGGUGUAUGAACUCCACAGAAUAAAAGGGGGAAAAAUAAACUUAAAAAUCAUUGGCAAGCACCCCAAACGCAAAUAACGCAAAGCAGGAUUUGAGCAUAGAUAUUUCACAUUUAAUUUAACUUGAAAGCUAUGGAUUUUCUAUUCAGACCUAAAAAGCAAAGAAGAUCAAGCAAUGUGGCUUACAAAAAUUCCACAAAACAGUCCAUUUUAGUUGAGGCUUCUCAAAUCUCCACAUUCCUUCACCAAAUCCAUCAAAUUCCUCCAAUCCAAAUAAUAAAGAGCUCCCUAACCUAAAGCCAAGCCUCUCAUUUCAGCUGGCUAGACGUGCAUAAGGCAAGGAUCACUCCAAAUAGGAAUAACUCAAAUGUCUAUACCAUACUAUUAGGGGGAAAAUUAAUUAAAAAAGAAAAAGAAAACUACCAUUAUAAUUCUGGGUUUACCUUAACUUGUUGAAUCAAUACAAAUGAAGCCUUCUAGCGAAUUAAAUGCCUCUCCAGAAAUUGAAAAUCCAUAGAUAACCCAACAAAAUUGACAAGUUAAUUUCAGAUUACAAGGCAAAAUUACUGUCUUUUGUUCUCAAACGCGAAACUAAAAACAAAAAUCCUAAAACCCCACAUCUUAAAUAUCAAUCUAUUAACGUUUUCAAUGCAAGAUGUUUGAGGCUUCAAAAAAUGCAGAGAGAACAUGGAUUUUUCCGUUUUUCUUCUUGGGUACUAACCUGUUGAGAAAUGGAUUCAUGG
This 1963-nucleotide unclassified non-coding RNA is filed under the name Hevea brasiliensis (rubber tree). The record is from RNAcentral. Lineage: Eukaryota; Viridiplantae; Streptophyta; Magnoliopsida; Malpighiales; Euphorbiaceae.